This 5156-nucleotide long non-coding RNA is filed under the name Canis lupus familiaris (dog). Its description in RNAcentral is "lncRNA (ENSCAFG00030018432.1)". Lineage: Eukaryota; Metazoa; Chordata; Mammalia; Carnivora; Canidae. The record is from RNAcentral.
AGGGGGUUGGAGGGUGGGGGUGGGGGCGGGGCUUGGAGUGGGCGGGGCCUGGAGUGGGCGGGGCCUGGAGUGGGCGGGGCCUGGGGGCCGGGCCGGGGCGCCCGAUGGGGGCGUGCACACUCCGCGGGGACACGCGCUCUGGGCCGCGGCAACUCGCUCCAAGUUCCCUCCCUCGCGCUCCGCGAAGCCCGCCCGAGCCCGCCCGAGCCCUCCCCUCCCCUCCUCUCCCCUCGGCGCGGACCUAGCCCUCCGCGGCCUCGCGCCCCGCGCCCCCGGCCCGCCGGCUCGGCUCCCCCCGGCCCCGCGGGGCGGCGCGAGGACUCGGCGGCGGCCCCCUCCCCGCGGGCCCGGGAGCCGACGCCGGCUGGGGCCGCACCUCCGGGACCGGGCAGCGCGGCCGAGAAAUCGCCGGCUGGACAUCCAGAGCACCUAGCCUGUUUUUUUCUGCAUCUUGAAUUGAGCAUUAACAGGACUCUUGAAGCCCUUAUUGUAGAUGGGAUGGAGGGCAGACAUGGAGAGCCACACUCCUUGGGGACGGUGGAUAAGAUCGUGGCUUUGGCAUCCCAAAGAUCUGUGUGCUCUGUCACAUGAUGUAUAUGAUGUUGGGAAGACUGUUGGCUCUGUGCCCCGGUGUCUUCAUCUGUCAAGGAUUAUGGUGAGCAUUAAAUGAAUGAGCUGCAACAUAGAAGUAGCUUUUGUUGCACUUUCUGAAGAGUAGAGAUAAUAACAUUUACUUCUCAUGGUUUUAAACAGGCUGCUCCUAUACAGUUGAUCCUUGUACCACAUGGGUCUGAACUGUGUGGAUUCACUUACAUGAAGGUUUUUUUUUUUUUCAAUAAAUAAAUGUACAGUAUUGUAAAUGUAUUUUCUAUUUCAUAUGGUUUUAACAUGUUCUUUCCUCUGGCUUACAUUGUUGUAAGAAACAGUAUAGAACACAUGUUACAUACGAAAUACAGUGAAUCGAUUAUGUUAUCAUUAAGGCUUCUGUCUGCAGUAAGCUAUCAAGUAGGUAAGUUUUGGGGGAGACAGAAGUUAUAUGUGGAUUUUUGACUGCAUGGGGGUUAGUGCCCCUAACAUGGGGGGUGGUGCCAGGCACAUAGCACUCAACAAAUGGUAGCCCUUAGGGGUAAUGGUAACCUAACAAUAGCAUUAUCAGCAAAGGUAUUUAGAAUGGGACAGAUAUGGUGACCCUGAGUGCUGGCUAAUAUCUAAUAGUAGUAUGUGAGAAUGGCUACAGAUUCAUGGGGCACCUGAGAGGCUCAGUCAGAUAAGCCUCUGCCUUUAGCUCAAGUCAGAAUCCUGGGGUCCUGGGAUUGAACCCCUGCCUUAAGCUCCUUGCUCAGCAGGGAGUCUGCUUCUCCUUCUGCCUUUGCCCCUCCCCCUGCCCGUGCUUGCUUACUCUCUCUCUCUCUCUCUCUCAAGUAAAUAAAUAAAUAAAUAAAAUCUUAAAAAAAAAAAAGGAAAAAAAGAAUGGCCACAAAUUCAGUUUGUCAAUCAGACAGUAUGUAUUUAUUGAAACAUUUUUGUACAAUCUCAUCAUUAGCUUUAUUAAAUUACUGUCUACUUAGGACACAAAAGUUAACUCAAAAAGGCUUUGUUUAUGAUUAACUAUUGAGUGAAUAAUUAAGAGUUAUAUACUACUAUAAUCUUUUUGUUCCUAUUAGCGUCCACUUUUUAAAUAGGAAGGACAGCCUUCUGUUGGAUUUUUAUGAAAUUGUAAAACUACUCUAUGAAUAAAGAUAGUAGAUCUUGAAUGACUUUAGAAUACCUUACCCUACCUAUAUAUGUCUUUAAUCACAAUAUAUAUGUGUAAAUAUUUUGGUCUUUCUCAUUAGUGCCUUUCUUUCAUCAUUCUUAAAUAUUAAGUAUAUUGAAGUAUUAUCACCCAUGUUAUAUGGUUGUUCCAAAACUAUAAAAGGGGAAACAAACUGAACUCUAAUAACAUUUUAUUCUACUAUACCUAAAUUAAGUGGAGCUUCUAGGAAAAACUUUGACAUUCUUUUUUUUCCUAUACUUUGAACCAAAACACAUUUGAGUUUUUGGUAUAUUAGAGAAUUUCUUACUAUUUUUUUAAAGAUGUUAUCAAUUUAUUUGAGAGAGAUAUUGUUGGGAGGCAGGGGCAGAGGGAGAGAAAGAAGCAGACUCCCUGCUGAGCCGGGAGCCUGAUGUGGGACUCAAUUCCAGGACCCUGAGAUCAUGACCUGAGCCAAAGGCAGAUGCUUAACCCACUGAGCCAUCCAGGUGCCAGUCUCACUAUUUUUUUUUUUUUUACACAUUUACUUUUGGUACACUUGAAACAAAUGACAUUCCAUGGCUUAAGAAUGUCUCUUAAAGAAAAAAGUAUGUAAUUCAAGUGACCGUGAGUCACCUGAGGAUGCAAGUGUGUUUGAGCCCUUCUGGUGGUAGAAGCCUGUCUUGUGAUCCUUGCACCUGGGCCUGGCAGAGAGCAUGCUCAGUGAAGAUGGGAACUGAAUUAAAGACACAGCAAGGCAAUUGGAGAACUGAAAAUGCCCUUGUUAGAAUACUGAGAAUAUGAUGAUUUUUCAAAUUUGCCUUUAGUAUUACUGUAAUUGAGUUUAAACUAUAAAUAAAGACCUUUCAGUGGGAGUGACAUUUAGUGUGUAUUUGAAAGCAGUGAAACUAGUUCUUUGUUCUGUCCUUAGUUUAGGAUGCUUAUGGCCUGGGGAUCUGUCUCCUCCACCCCUCCGCCCUUCUGCCCUCCCUUUGAAGCUUCUACUUCUUUCUUUUCUUGCCCCCUCUCCCUCUAUUUCUGCCCUCCUGCCCCUCCCUACCCACCUCCUGCUUGGUUUUAAGAAGGACCUUGAGCCAGGCCCUAUCUGGCCCUGCUCUCCUAUUCCUGGGCAGUGGCCUCAGGUGUCUUCUUCAGAGGUCCUGAGGAGAAUUCAAACUAACAGCAGCAACCACCCUUGAGUAAUAAUGCAGCUACCCCUGCCCUUCUGCUGACUUGGGCACCCCCCUCCCCCCCCCCCCCGCUCCCAGCCUCUCUGUUAGAAUCCCUGGUAGUACAUCUCUGACAUGGAGUUAAAUCCAACUCUUUGAGUAGUUUUGUCAAUGUCCUUUGCUACAUCUUUCCUCAGCUAACUUGGGAAGAAAACAUUCUGCUUCUAUUAGCAUCACUGUUUUCUGGCAGAGAACAGUAUUCUGGUUGCAUUUCACAGGAAACACCCAGGUUCAGCCAGAAGUGCACAGUUCUGUUUGAAAUCAGACUUACUCUCUUAUCUGCCAGCAUUUCUUCCUCAUGAUAGAAAUCUAGCACUGUAACUCCUGAACUGGCUUAUUGGCAUUUUUUCCAGCAACAGAUAUUCACCUCUUUUCAUCACAAUCUUUAAAGAUUUUUGCAUUUGAAUGAACUGACACACAAUCAUUAUGGUUUUUUUUUAUUAUUAUUUGGAUAUUUGCACAACUUAAAAAUUUGACUUUGUUACAUGGUUGUACAUAGAUUAUGGUUUGCCCUGAGAUUAAACAAGUAAAAAAAGUGCAGCUACUUAAGAUUUGUAGCACCACAAGUGAAAGUUUCUGGAAACCAGGGAGUAGUUUAAUUCCUGUUCUGAAUGGGAUGUUAGUGAGCUCCUCCCCUCCAUACCCCUGGCCCCUGCCAGAGUAACCUUUGGUUUAAAACUCUCGGAGACUUCUUUGCUUUUGGUUUAGAUCUGACCCAAGUACCAUCAAAGAACAAACCAUUUAAGCAGGAAUUUAUUUGCAUAUGUAAUAUACAUACAGUUCUUCAAAUCAUAGGAACAUUUGAGUUUUUCUUUUCCAAGUACUGUUUUUAUUUUUCUUUUUUGAAUUUCUGUAAUAUAAACUCAGAUUUUCCUAGACUGUGUUUUUCUGAUUAAUAAUCAAUCCUCCUUCCUUCCUUUUCUCCUUCCUUCUUUCCUUGCUCCCUCCCUUCCAUCCUUGUGUUAUUGUUUAGUUGAAGAAAGAAGAAACAUCUGAUGGUAUGUUUUAGUUUUUCAGAGUUUUUAGACACCAGUAAGUUAUUGAUAGAUCUUUCAUAUAUGAAUGACAUUAAGUACGUGUUAAUUUUUUGUGCCAACUUGGUUUUCUAAUCCUAGGCUCUAAUGAACCUGCAAAACCUGUUAUUUACAGUACAUAAAUUCUAAUUGUUACUACAUACGAUUCUUUAAAAAAAAAAUAUACUGCUUUUCCAGGGUUUCAUACCCAAAUGUGAAAUUUGGCUUUCCUUCUCUGAAAGGAAAUUUGCCUGUUGUACUGAUUUAAAAUGUUCCCAAUUUAAGUUGCAAACUCAAAUCAUGUAGAUGAAGCUCUGUUUUAACAAGGAGUACUGUGUAUAAUCUUUAAAGUUUUUCUAGUAGCAUCCCUUUUCAAUGAGUACCAUUCUUGGCUACGUUUUGUGACUUGUUUCCUGAGUUAAUUAGAACCAGAGAGCAAAUAUUUCUUCUCUCUCUCAUUGUUGUUCAGGGUCACCUUUCCACCCACCCUGGUUAGCAUUCCACUUCAGAGGUUGCUCUUCUCUCUUUGUCUGCUGGACAGAUAGGCAUCACCAAAACAUGACACAAACAGGGACUGUCUGGGUUUGAAAUGCAGAAUGUAGGGGCCAAAUGAAUUCUAGAUUGUUCUGACCUAGGAACUCACCCAAUUUUUGUUUCUUAAUCUUCAAAAGGUAUGACUAGGAGGAUCAUUGCACCUCUUGAUAAGCCAGUUGGCAGGGCACCUGGCUGGCUUAGUGGUUGAGCGUCUGCCUUAGUCUCAGGGCGUGAUCCCGGGGUCCUGGGAUCUAGUCGCACAUUGGGCUCCCUGCAGGGAGCCUGUUCUCCCUCUGCCAGUGUGUCUGCCUCUCUCUGUGUCUCCCUCUGGUUGUGUCUCUGCCUGUCUCUCUGUGUCUCUCAUGAAUAAAUAAAAUCUUAGAAAAGAAAAGAAAAAGCCAACUGGCCUUUUCUCCUUGAGUGAUUGCUAAUACACAUAUAAAUGUGUGUUAGCCUCUUUUUGCUUACAUUUUAAGUCUCAGAUAUUACUCAUUCUGGAUCAGGUGGCAAAGCUGCCAUCAUGCCUCCCCAUCAAUCUUGGGAACAUUAUUGAUGACUGUUCUCUGUACUAGAAGCUGUAUUGUAUUUGCAUGUGAAAUCAUGGCAUGCUUAAGAUAGAGAUGCAAAUUUCACUUCAGCUUCUUGAUU